RNAcentral lists this non-coding RNA (266 nucleotides) under Halomonas sp. Lineage: Bacteria; Pseudomonadati; Pseudomonadota; Gammaproteobacteria; Oceanospirillales; Halomonadaceae. The record is from RNAcentral.
UCAGUCCUUUCUGACGCAAGACGCCGUGGCCAGAAGUAGACACGAGGGGUGAAACGGGAAGUCGGUGCCAAUCCGACGCUGCCCCCGCAACGGUGAUCGAGUCAAGCGCGCUCACCACGCCACUGUGACAGGGUCCUUGACCCCUGAUGCGACCGGACCCUGUGUCCCGCUCAGCCAGUCACGGGAAGGCGAACGCGCCGAACCGUCGAAACGCUUCGAUGGUUCAUCUCGUCAGCCCGGAGACCGGCCUGAAGAGCCAUGCCAAG